UCCCAGUUCGGACUGCAGCCUGCAACCCGGCUGCACGAAGCUGGAAUCGCUAGUAAUCGCGAAUCAGAAUGUCGCGGUGAAUACGUUCCCGGGUCUUGUACACACCGCCCGUCACACCAUGGGAGUCGGAAAUGCCCGAAGUCAGUGACCCAACCGUAAGGAGGGAGCUGCCGAAGGUGGAGCCGGUAACUGGGGUGAAGUCGUAACAAGGUAAC
This 215-nucleotide ribosomal RNA is filed under the name uncultured bacterium. Its description in RNAcentral is "partial 16S ribosomal RNA". It matches the Rfam family "Bacterial small subunit ribosomal RNA", at positions 1286 to 1500 of the family's 1533-position model. The record is from RNAcentral.